UGAUGAAGUUGGUUCAGCAUGCAGCAAACUCGACAGCAUGCAGGCCAUCAAGACCAAGUCAUGCAGGAGCUGCUGGAACGAGCUGAACUAUUCCUAUUUUGUUCAACUUGUAACCUUAAGUUAAUGUAAUGUACUUUAGUUCAUUUAGAACUAUGUUAGGUUUAUGAUUGAUGUAUUUUGAUGACAAUUAAGCUGUUAAGUCAGCUUUGUUUAAGUGUGCAAGCUUAGUUUUUCAAGUUUCAAUGUAUUAGUGGUGGUAGGUGAUGAUUAGGUAUCAUUAUGCAGAUUUUGACAAGCAAAUUGCUUGGUUUAUGUAUUGGCAUUAUGCCAUUGUUCAAUGUAUGAAUAGAAUCAGUUUUUGUUCAUCAAUUUCCUCUCCAUUUUCUUAGCUUUUUCUUUCUUUCUUUAACUCGAAAUUGUUUGUUUGCUCAGCAAGUUUUAAGGCUUGCUCGACAAGAUACUUGCUGAGUCUGCUUGAUUCUGUUCUUGCAUCAACAAUUGGUAUCUAGAGCCUAUUUCUUAAGGGAUCUGUUACUCAAUUCCAUGGCUUCAUCAAGCUUUUCACCAGCUGCACCUCAAGUCUUCAAUGGAGAAGGCUAUCACAUAUGGGUGGUCAAAAUGAAGACCUACCUGCAGGCUUUCGAUCUGUGGGAGGUGGUCAACUUUGAUGUUGAACCAGAGCCACUUAGAGCUAAUCCAACAGUGGCUCAGAUCAGGCAGCAUGCUGAUGAAAGGACCAAGAGGCACAAAGCUAUGUCUUGCAUCCAAAACUCAGUGUCUGAUGUGAUUUUCACAAGGAUUAUGGCCUGUGAAUCACCAAAACAGGCCUGGGAUAAGUUGCAGGAAGAGUUUCAAGGGACUGAGAGGACAAGGCAGCAACAGUUGUUAAAUUUGAGGAGAGAUUUCGAGAAUUUGAAGAUGAAGGAAGAAGAAACUGUCAAGCAAUAUUCUGACAGGAUUAUGGCCGUGGUUAACAGCAUCAGGCUCCUUGGAGAGCAGUUCAAUGAAGCUAGGAUAGUGGAGAAGGUUAUAGCAACUCUGCCUGAGAGGUAUGAGGCAAAAAUCUCAUCUCUCGAGGACUCAAGGGAUCUGUCCACCAUCUCCCUGACAGAGUUGAUCAAUGCUCUAUAUGCUCAAGAGCAGAGGAGAGCAAGCAGACUGGAGGAGCACCAAGAAGGUGCCUUUCAGGCAAGAACAAAUACUGCCUACAAAGGCAAGAAGGCCUGGAGAGACAAGCCAAAGAAUGAUGCUGCAAGGAGAGAAGGUCAGACUUGCAAGCACUGUAGAAAGGCUGGUCAUUCAGAAGAAAAAUGCUGGUUCAAUCCAGAUGCUGUGUGUCAGCAUUGUAAGAAGAAGGGUCAUGUUGAGAGAGUCUGCAAGAGUAAGACCAAAUCGAGGCAGAAUCAGUUUCAACAGAUGAAAGCUGAGGCUCGAGUAGCUAAGGAGGACAGUGACCAAGAGGAGCAAGUCUUUGCUGUGUCAUGCUCAGCUGCUCAGGAAAAGUCCUCAUCUGGUUGGCUUCUAGACAGUGGAUGUACCAACCACAUGACACCUGAUGCUGCAAUCUUCAAGUCUUUAGACAGAAGCUGUAGAACUAAAGUCAAGAUAGGAAAUGGUCAUUUUAUUCAAGCUGAAGGCAAGGGUGAUGUGCUGAUAUGCACCCUUACAGGUACCAAAGUGAUUUCAAAUGUGCUGUUGGUGCCUGAAAUUGACAGAAACCUGCUCAGCAUAGCUCAGUUGCUGGAAAAAGGUUAUUCAGUUGUGUUUAAAGACCACCAUUGCCAAAUCAGUGAUCCAAGUGGAUCCAAACUGAUGGCAGUCCCUAUGGCUGACAAGAGCUUUGUGGUUGACUGGACAAAAAAGGCAGACAUUGCCUACACAGCCACUUCAGAUGAAUCCAAGCUGUGGCAUCAAAGAUUGGGACAUGCCAACUUCAGAUCGAUGGCUCGAAUGGUCAGAGAGGACCUGGCUGAAAAUUUCAUCAACUCAGUUGACCAUGAUGAUGUAUGUGAUGUAUGUCAGCUAGGAAAGCAGGCCAGACUCCCAUUUCCCUCGAAUCAAGCCUGGAGAGCCUCUGAAAAACUCCAACUGGUGCAUACUGAUGUGUGUGGCCCUAUGAAGACUGAGUCAUUAAGUGGAAACAGGUAUUUCAUACUGUUCAUUGAUGAUUUCUCGAGAUAUUGCUGGAUUUACUUUUUAAAACAGAAAUCUGAAGUGGCCUCAGUGUUUUGGAAGUUCAAGACUGCUUCUGAGACUGAAACAGGCUGCAAGCUGAAGACCAUAAGGUCUGAUAAUGGGACUGAGUACACCUCAGCUCAGUUCCAAGCCUUCUGUGAUAAGGCAGGCAUCAAACAUCAACUUACCAACACAUAUACACCUCAGCAGAAUGGGGUAAGUGAAAGGAAGAAUAGGAGUUUGAUGGAUAUGGCCAGGUGCUUGAUGAUUCAGAAAAAUCUGCCUAAAGCACUAUGGGCAGAAGCAGUUAACACUGCAACAUACAUUCAAAAUAGACUUCCAACCAAGGCUUUGGAUCAAAAGACCCCAUUCGAGGCCUGGUUUAGCUUCAAGCCAUCAUUGGCUCAUCUGAAGGUCUUUGGAUGCAUCAGUUAUGCACAUGUACCUGCUGUUAAAAGGGACAAAUUGUCUGAAAGGGCUCGACCUGGUGUUUUGGUGGGGUAUAGCACUGUUAAGAAGGGCUAUAGGAUUUUAGAUCCUACAACAAACAAAGUAUCAAUAAGCAGGGAUGUGGUAUUUGAUGAGAGGUCAUGUUGGAACUGGGAAAGACAUGAACCUGAAGAAGUUUCUGAAGAACUUGCAGUAGACCAAGCUGAGCCAGAUCAAAAUGUCCCUGAAAUGGAUAUUGAUGAUGAACCAGUCAGAGGAACAAGGUCAUUGGCUGAGGUUUAUGAAAGGGCUCAUGUAGCCAUAGCUGAACCAAGCAACUUUGAAGAGGCUGAGGCUCAACAAGGGUGGAAGCAGGCAAUGGCUGAGGAGAUCAGCAUGAUUGAGAAGAACCAGACCUGGGAAUUGGUUGAAAGGCCAGUCAAAAGGAAAGUGAUUGGGGUGAAAUGGGUGUACAAAGCCAAGCAGAAUGCUGAUGGUACCUUGAACAAGUUAAAAGCAAGGCUAGUGGUCAAGGGGUUCAGUCAGAGGUAUGGCUUGGACUACUUGGAGACCUUUGCACCAGUGGCCAGGCUCGACACCAUCAGACUGCUGAUUGCCUUAGCAGCACAGCUCGAAUGGAAGAUUCAUCAACUUGAUGUGAAAUCAGCCUUUCUGAAUGGUUUCUUAGAUGAAGACAUCUAUGUUGAACAACCACAAGGGUUUGAAAUAGCUGGCAGAGAGCAUAUGGUCUACAAAUUGAAGAAGGCCCUAUAUGGCUUAAAACAGGCUCCAAGGGCCUGGUACAGCAGAAUCGAUGGCUACCUGACUGAUCUGGGAUUCAAUCGAAGCAAGAGUGAGCCAACACUGUAUGUCAAGAAGCAAGGGACACAAACACAACUCAUUGUGUCCCUAUAUGUUGAUGACCUGCUGGUGACAGGAGGAGAUCAAGCAGUGCUGGUUAGUUUCAAGACCAAGAUGCAGGAGGUGUUUGAAAUGUCUGAUCUUGGGGAGAUGUCCUAUUUUCUUGGAAUGGAGGUGACUCAAGCACAGAAUGGGAUAUUUUUAAGUCAGAAGAGCUUUGCCACAAAGAUUCUGACCAAGUUCUCCAUGCAAAACAGCAAACCAACUAAAACACCUGUUGCUGUUGGAGAAAAACUAUCGAGCCAAGGAGAUUUUGAGAAGGUAUGUGAAACUACCUACAGGAGUCUAGUUGGUUGUUUGCUAUACUUGACUGCCACUAGACCAGACAUAAUGUAUGCUGUAGGAUUGCUCUCAAAGUUCUUGCAUUGUUGCAAUGAGAAGCAUUUCCAGACUGCCAAGAGAGUGCUCAGAUAUGUCAAAGGCACUUUGGACUAUGGCUUAAGGUACAGCAGAAAAGGAAAUCUAAAUCUAGUUGGGUACACUGAUAGUGACUGGGCUGGAUCGAUAGAUGACAUGAAAAGCACCUCAGGGUAUGCUUUUAGACUUGGUUCAGCCAUGUUCUGCUGGAGCUCGAAGAAGCAAAGUCUGGUGGCACAAUCUACGGCUGAAGCAGAGUAUGUGGCAGCAGCAAGUGCUGUCAACCAAGCCAUUUGGCUUAGGAAAAUCCUGGCUGAUUUGAAUAUGGAUCAAAUGGAAGCAACAGAGAUCUUCUGUGACAAUCAAUCUGCAGUUGCAAUUGCUAAAAAUCCAGUGUUCCAUGGUAGAACAAAACAUUUCAGCAUCAAGUUACAUGUUGUUCGAGAAAUGGAGCAAGCUCAGGAAGUAAAGCUGAUCCACUGUAAUUCAGAGGAUCAACUUGCUGACAUUUUAACCAAAGCUCUUAGUGUCACAAGGUUUGAAUAUCUAAGAAAGAUGCUAGGUGUUUGCUCCAUGCAAACCAAGGAGGAGUGAUGAAGUUGGUUCAGCAUGCAGCAAACUCGACAGCAUGCAGGCCAUCAAGACCAAGUCAUGCAGGAGCUGCUGGAACGAGCUGAACUAUUCCUAUUUUGUUCAACUUGUAACCUUAAGUUAAUGUAAUGUACUUUAGUUCAUUUAGAACUAUGUUAGGUUUAUGAUUGAUGUAUUUUGAUGACAAUUAAGCUGUUAAGUCAGCUUUGUUUAAGUGUGCAAGCUUAGUUUUUCAAGUUUCAAUGUAUUAGUGGUGGUAGGUGAUGAUUAGGUAUCAUUAUGCAGAUUUUGACAAGCAAAUUGCUUGGUUUAUGUAUUGGCAUUAUGCCAUUGUUCAAUGUAUGAAUAGAAUCAGUUUUUGUUCAUCAAUU
This 4844-nucleotide long non-coding RNA is filed under the name Gossypium barbadense (sea-island cotton). RNAcentral's name for it is "long non-coding RNA (GBAR_LNC023022)". Lineage: Eukaryota; Viridiplantae; Streptophyta; Magnoliopsida; Malvales; Malvaceae. The record is from RNAcentral.